GACGAACGCUGGCGGCGUGCUUAACACAUGCAAGUCGAACGGAAAGGCCCUGCUUUUGUGGGGUGCUCGAGUGGCGAACGGGUGAGUAACACGUGAGUAACCUGCCCUUGACUUUGGGAUAACUUCAGGAAACUGGGGCUAAUACCGGAUAGGAGCUCCUGCUGCAUGGUGGGGGUUGGAAAGUUUCGGCGGUUGGGGAUGGACUCGCGGCUUAUCAGCUUGUUGGUGGGGUAGUGGCUUACCAAGGCUUUGACGGGUAGCCGGCCUGAGAGGGUGACCGGCCACAUUGGGACUGAGGUACGGCCCGGACUGCUACGGGAGGCAGCAGUGGGGAAUAGUGCAAAAUGGGCGGAAGGCUGAUGCAGCAACGCCGCGUGCGGGAUGACGGCCUUCGGGGUGUAAACCGCUUUCGCCUGUGACGAAGCGUGAGUGACGGUAAUGGGUAAAGAAGCACCGGCUAACUACGUG
RNAcentral lists this ribosomal RNA (468 nucleotides) under uncultured bacterium. RNAcentral's name for it is "partial 16S ribosomal RNA". It matches the Rfam family "Bacterial small subunit ribosomal RNA", at positions 28 to 507 of the family's 1533-position model. The record is from RNAcentral.